CGGGCUCCGGCGCUGACACCGCGGCACUCAUGCCCUGUCCCCUUUCAGCUGUUUCCAGCAUACUGUGCCCCGUCUGUCCUCAGGCCAGGGCUUCGCUGCAGCCCCGGCCACUCCCUAGUGCCUGGCCCGGUGGUGGCCAGGCAGUUGGCCGCGCUGCUUCUCCCGCAGAGGGGACCCCCACUGGGGGCGAAGGCUUGGCCUGCCCUCUUCACUGCUGUAUUUCCAGACCUGAUGCCUGCGUUUGUGAGAGCUCUGGAUAUAUGGUUUUCGAUUGAAUGAGUGAACUGGAGGGGCUUCCCCUUCUUGUGUUGCUGAAUCUUUCUAGCUGCCCUGUUGGGGCAGGGAGGGGCAGACACACUUCAGGGGCUGCAUUGCCCGAAGGGUGCCACCUUUCCCACCUCUCCAUCCCCGUAACUGGGCUGUCAUCAGGCCACAGUAGGAUUCUUACCCUCUCCCACCCAGAGGAGGCCCUCAAUCCUCUCCUCUCCCUUCCAUUUAGGCUGAGUUUGAGAAAGCUGCAGAGGAGGUUAGGCACCUUAAGACCAAGCCAUCGGAUGAGGAGAUGCUGUUCAUCUAUGGCCACUACAAACAAGCAACUGUGGGCGACAUAAAUACAGAACGGCCCGGGAUGUUGGACUUCACGGGCAAGGCCAAGUGGGAUGCCUGGAAUGAGCUGAAAGGGACUUCCAAGGAAGAUGCCAUGAAAGCUUACAUCAACAAAGUAGAAGAGCUAAAGAAAAAAUACGGGAUAUGAGAGACUGGAUUUGGUUACUGUGCCAUGUGUUUAUCCUAAACUGAGACAAUGCCUUGUUUUUUUCUAAUACCGUGGAUGGUGGGAAUUCGGGAAAAUAACCAGUUAAACCAGCUACUCAAGGCUGCUCACCAUACGGCUCUAACAGAUUAGGGGCUAAAACGAUUACUGACUUUCCUUGAGUAGUUUUUAUCUGAAAUCAAUUAAAAGUGUAUUUGUUACUUUAAAU
This 980-nucleotide long non-coding RNA is filed under the name Homo sapiens (human). RNAcentral describes it as "HSALNT0038710". The record is from RNAcentral. Lineage: Eukaryota; Metazoa; Chordata; Mammalia; Primates; Hominidae.